GGUUAAGUGAAUAAGGGCGCACGGUGGAUGCCUUGGCACUAGGAGCCGAUGAAGGACGGGACUAACACCGAUAUGCUUUGGGGAGCUGUAAGUAAGCUAUGAUCCAGAGAUUUCCGAAUGGGGGAACCCAAUAUCUUUUAUAGGAUAUUACUUUUCAGUGAAUACAUAGCUGAUUAGAGGUAGACGCAGAGAACUGAAACAUCUUAGUACCUGCAGGAAGAGAAAGAAAAUUCGAUUCCCUGAGUAGCGGCGAGCGAAACGGGAAGAGCCCAAACCAACAAGCUUGCUUGUUGGGGUUGUAGGACUCCAAUAUGGUAGUCUGUUAGUAUAGUUGAAGGAUUUGGAAAAUUCCGCUAAAGAGGGUGAAAGCCCCGUAGACGAAAUGCUGACAACACCUAGGAGGAUCCUGAGUACGGCGGAACACGAGAAAUUCCGUCGGAAUCCGCGGGGACCAUCCCGCAAGGCUAAAUACUCCCUAGUGACCGAUAGUGAACCAGUACCGUGAGGGAAAGGUGAAAAGCACCCCGGAAGGGGAGUGAAAUAGAUCCUGAAACCGUGUGCCUACAACAAGUCAAAGCUCGUUAAUGAGUGAUGGCGUGCCUUUUGUAGAAUGAACCGGCGAGUUACGAUUGCAUGCGAGGUUAAGUCGAAGAGACGGAGCCGCAGCGAAAGCGAGUCUGAAUAGGGCGAAUGAGUAUGUAGUCGUAGACCCGAAACCAUGUGAUCUACCCAUGUCCAGGUUGAAGGUGCGGUAAAACGCACUGGAGGACCGAACCCACGUACGUUGAAAAGUGCGGGGAUGAGGUGUGGGUAGCGGAGAAAUUCCAAACGAACUUGGAGAUAGCUGGUUCUCUCCGAAAUAGCUUUAGGGCUAGCCUCGGAAUUGAGAAUGAUGGAGGUAGAGCACUGUUUGGACUAGGGGCCCAUCUCGGGUUACCGAAUUCAGAUAAACUCCGAAUGCCAUUCAUUUAUAUCCGGGAGUCAGACUGCGAGUGAUAAGAUCCGUAGUCGAAAGGGAAACAGCCCAGACCACCAGCUAAGGUCCCAAAAUAUAUGUUAAGUGGAAAAGGAUGUGGGGUUGCACAGACAACUAGGAUGUUGGCUUAGAAGCAGCCACCAUUUAAAGAGUGCGUAAUAGCUCACUAGUCGAGUGACCCUGCGCCGAAAAUGUACCGGGGCUAAACAUAUUACCGAAGCUGUGGACUACACCAUUAGGUGUAGUGGUAGGAGAGCGUUCUAAGGGCGUUGAAGGUCGAUCGUGAGGACGGCUGGAGCGCUUAGAAGUGAGAAUGCCGGUAUGAGUAGCGAAAGACAGGUGAGAAUCCUGUCCACCGUAUGACUAAGGUUUCCUGGGGAAGGCUCGUCCGCCCAGGGUUAGUCGGGACCUAAGCCGAGGCCGAUAGGCGUAGGCGAUGGACAACAGGUUGAUAUUCCUGUACCAGUUGUUUUUGUUUGAGCAAUGGAGGGACGCAGUAGGCUAAGGAAUGCAUGCGAUUGGAAGUGCAUGUCCAAGCAAUGAGUCUUGAGUAGAGUUAAAUGCUUUACUCUUUAAGGACAAGUUGUGAUGGGGAGCGAAAUAAUAGUAGCGAAGUUCCUGAUGUCACACUGCCAAGAAAAGCUUCUAGUGAGAAAACAACUGCCCGUACCGUAAACCGACACAGGUAGUCGAGGAGAGUAUCCUAAGGUGAGCGAGCGAACUCUCGUUAAGGAACUCGGCAAAAUGACCCCGUAACUUCGGGAGAAGGGGUGCUGACUUCGGUCAGCCGCAGUGAAUAGGCCCAAGCGACUGUUUAUCAAAAACACAGGUCUCUGCAAAAUCGUAAGAUGAAGUAUAGGGGCUGACGCCUGCCCGGUGCUGGAAGGUUAAGAGGAUGGGUUAGCUUCGGCGAAGCUCAGAAUUGAAGCCCCAGUAAACGGCGGCCGUAACUAUAACGGUCCUAAGGUAGCGAAAUUCCUUGUCGGGUAAGUUCCGACCCGCACGAAAGGCGUAACGAUUUGG
RNAcentral lists this ribosomal RNA (1999 nucleotides) under Clostridium perfringens. Its description in RNAcentral is "partial 23S ribosomal RNA". It matches the Rfam family "Bacterial large subunit ribosomal RNA", at positions 1 to 2012 of the family's 2925-position model. Lineage: Bacteria; Bacillati; Bacillota; Clostridia; Eubacteriales; Clostridiaceae. The record is from RNAcentral.